UACAGAGGGUGCAAGCGUUAAUCGGAAUUACUGGGCGUAAAGCGUGCGUAGACGGUUACAUAAGUCAGGUGUGAAAGCCCCGGGCUCAACCUGGGAAUUGCAUUUGAGACUGUGUAGCUAGGGUGCGGAAGAGGGAAGCGGAAUUUCCGGUGUAGCGGUGAAAUGCGUAGAUAUCGGAAGGAACACCAGUGGCGAAAGCGGCUUCCUGGUCCAGCACCGACGUUCAGGCACGAAAGCGUGGGGAGCAAACAGG
This 253-nucleotide ribosomal RNA is filed under the name uncultured bacterium. RNAcentral describes it as "partial 16S ribosomal RNA". It matches the Rfam family "Bacterial small subunit ribosomal RNA", at positions 524 to 776 of the family's 1533-position model. The record is from RNAcentral.